RNAcentral lists this long non-coding RNA (276 nucleotides) under Gallus gallus (chicken). Lineage: Eukaryota; Metazoa; Chordata; Aves; Galliformes; Phasianidae. The record is from RNAcentral.
GAAAAUGUGAAAACUCAGGUUAACCAGCAUAUGCCAGCUUUUCACGCUGAUCCUGAUCACACUGUGAUGGUAUAUGUAGCUGACUAUGAUCAUCAAGAGGCACAUUAGCAAAACCAUGGCAGUGGCAUAAAUUACUGGAUGCAAAAGAUCAGCUGGCUGUGUAUAUAAUUCAGCUUCUGUCAAGUCCAUUAAAACUGCAUAGUUGCUGAGGGAGUAGCACUGAAUGGUAGUAAUGUUUUCAUCAGACAGAAGAAUGCGACAGCCAUCAGACUUCCA